This 497-nucleotide ribosomal RNA is filed under the name uncultured bacterium. RNAcentral describes it as "partial 16S ribosomal RNA". It matches the Rfam family "Bacterial small subunit ribosomal RNA", at positions 28 to 507 of the family's 1533-position model. The record is from RNAcentral.
GAUGAACGCUGGCGGCGUGCCUAAUACAUGCAAGUCGAGCGAACAGACGAGGAGCUUGCUCCUCUGACGUUAGCGGCGGACGGGUGAGUAACACGUGGCUAACCUACCUAUAAGACUGGGAUAACUUCGGGAAACCGGAGCUAAAACCGGAUAAUAUAUUGCACCGCAUGGUUCGAUAGUGCAAGACGGCUCUGCUUUCACUUAUAGGAUGAUCCGCGCCGCAUUAGCUAGUUGGUUAGGUAACGGCUUACCAAGGCAACGAUGCGUAGCCGACCUGAGAGGGUGAUCGGCCACACUGGAACUGAGACACGGUCCAGACUCCUACGGGAGGCAGCAGUAGGGAAUCUUCCGCAAUGGGCGAAAGCCUGACGGAGCAACGCCGCGUGAGUGAUGAAGGUCUUCGGAUCGUAAAACUCUGUUAUUAGGGAAGAACAAAUGUGUAAGUAACUAUGCGCGUCUUGACGGUACCUAAUCAGAAAGCCACGGCUAACUACGUG